UACGUAGGUGGCAAGCGUUAUCCGGAAUUACUGGGCGUAAAGCGUGCGCAGGCGGUGAGCUGUGUCCGAUGUGAAAGCCCCGGGCUUAACCUGGGAAUGGCAUUGGAAACUGGCUCGCUGGAGUGUGGCAGAGGGGGGUGGAAUUCCGCGUGUAGCAGUGAAAUGCGUAGAGAUGCGGAGGAACACCGAUGGCGAAGGCAGCCCCCUGGGCUAACACUGACGCUCAGGCACGAAAGCGUGGGGAGCAAACAGG
This 253-nucleotide ribosomal RNA is filed under the name uncultured bacterium. RNAcentral's name for it is "partial 16S ribosomal RNA". It matches the Rfam family "Bacterial small subunit ribosomal RNA", at positions 524 to 776 of the family's 1533-position model. The record is from RNAcentral.